UCUACGCGACGUUCUAUCUCCCCAACAUGAAGGUGUUGCUGACCGUCAUUUUAUUGACCUCCUUUCUCGGUCAAGUGGCGCUUCAGAUAUUGACACAGGCUCAAUUAUCGAUCACCAGGGCUCCGACAAAACCUGUUCACUUUUACUGUGAUGUUCAACAAAUCGACUUUGCGGAAGCUGUUAUACAUUGGUACCGGCAGAGGCCGGGUGAAGGCCUGCAGCGGCUAUUAUAUUUUAAGAAUUCAUCCGACACUCAGAAGGAUGUGGCUGACGAACGAUUAAUUGCGAGCAAAGUACCUGAGACUCAAUCGUGCACUCUACUCUUAUCGAGCAUAAACGUGGAUGAUGCUGGCACCUACUACUGCGCUUACUGGCUACACAGUGGCGAAAUGCGAAGGGAAGCCAGUACAGAAACCCAACGGGUACCUUGUGCAUAACGUGUUCACCGAUUCCAGACCAAGUAACAGGUGUUGUGCCUCACGAUCUCCACGAACACCUGCGUUUAACGAAUGCUAU
Hypanus sabinus (Atlantic stingray) is the source of this 516-nucleotide non-coding RNA. The record is from the annotation of a RefSeq genome assembly. Lineage: Eukaryota; Metazoa; Chordata; Chondrichthyes; Myliobatiformes; Dasyatidae.